GCAACCUACCUAUCAGAGGGGAAUAACCGGCGAAAGUCGGACUAAUACCGCAUAAAACAAGGGGCGACCGCAUGGUGAUAUUGUUAAGAAAUUCGCUGAUAGAUGGGCAUGCGUUCCAUUAGGGUAGUUGGUGAGGUAACGGCUCACCAAGCCGACGAUGGAUAGGGGAACUGAGAGGUUGGUCCCCCACACUGGUACUGAGACACGGACCAGACUCCUACGGGAGGCAGCAGUGAGGGAAUAUUGGUCAAUGGGCGGGAGCCUGAACCAGCCAAGUCGCCGUGAAGGAAGAAGGAUCUAUGGUUCGUAAACUUCUUUUGCAGGGGAAUAAAGUGCAGGACGUGUCCUGUUUUGUAUGUACCCUGAGAAUAAGGAUCGGCUAACUCCGUGCCAGCCGCGGC
This 401-nucleotide ribosomal RNA is filed under the name uncultured bacterium. RNAcentral's name for it is "bacterial SSU rRNA". It matches the Rfam family "Bacterial small subunit ribosomal RNA", at positions 121 to 518 of the family's 1533-position model. The record is from RNAcentral.